This is a long non-coding RNA of Elgaria multicarinata webbii, 1370 nucleotides long. RefSeq lists it as uncharacterized. The transcript has 2 exons. The record is from RefSeq and is a predicted model, not a curated record. NCBI's taxonomy places the organism in Eukaryota, Metazoa, Chordata, Lepidosauria, Squamata, Anguidae.
CUUUCUCUUUCCAGAUGGGUUUCUUGGCUUGUUCACAGUUAACGCUCAAAAGCUUUUGCCCGAACAUUCUCAGCAUCUUUCACAACAUCUCUCAGGAAGCUCUUCAGUAUGCAGAAGAAGGUGCAGAGUGAAGAGAUUGGACAGACCCAAUCAGCGAGACUCCUGGACUUCAUCUUGAAGAGCAUGGGAGGAAAGCACUAGGCAUGUGCUCCGCUCCGAUUAGAAGCGUAGAAGCAGUAGCAAAUUGGCCUGCUCCGCCUUGCCCAGAGGCGGAGUAGAAGCGGACCGCGGACCCCUAGAAGCAAGGCGAAGAGAAGCGCCCAUUUUUCGGAGCUCCUAUUUCAGGCGGAGCGCUCCGGUCGCCAUCUUGAAACAUUUCGCCCAUAGGAUUGCAUUGCGGAAAACAAUCGUGGAUAACUACUGGGUUGUUUUUGAAGCUAUCGUUCUGAAAAUUCUUGUGCUCAGAGAGUCGUGGAUGGGGGUGAUUUUGAGACUACUCUCACCUCUCUGCAUCGUGUGGGUCAAGUGCUAGAAUUCUUUAAAAAUCGGGUAAACAAACGGACAGCGCGGGUCAAACGGCGGUUUUCGCCCAUAGGAUUGCAUUGCGGAAAAGAAUUGGGGAUAACUGGGUUGUUUUUUAAGCUAUCGUACUGAAAAUUCUUGUGCUCAGAGAGUCAUGGAUGGGGGUCAUUUUGAGACUACUCUCACCUCUCUGUGUGGUGCGGGUCGCACGCUAGAAUUUUUUUAAAAAUCGGCAGGGAAAAUACCUUUUUCAAAGGGCUGAGGGGCAGAGUCAGCUCCCGGUCAUGAUCACAUGAUCCCAAAGUUGGAGGAAGGGAUAGGCAAAACGGGUAACUUGGGAUUCUUCUCUUUCUUAAUCUGAACGGACUUUUCCCAGUGUUUUUUAAAACAGUAGCCCCACCAAAUGCACAAACACAACCUGAAAUCAUAUACUAAGCCAAUAAUAAGAGAGCACUGCUACCCACCCUAACUUUGGGGAACAACUGAAAAGAUGUGGUGCAAGGGGAUGAGCUCCCCUAGGGCAUCUCAUUGUGGACGUGCCCUCACACUCUCCUGUACUUGGAAGGCCAUCAGAGCCUUCCAAAGAGAGUAACCCGGUGGAUCAAUGCCUAUCAUGAGUCGAAGUGAGCAUUCUACUUCUCUUAGUGGUGGAGCAAUGCCUAUCAUGAGUUGAAGUGAGCGUUUACUCCUCAGAGCUGUUGGUGAAGCAAUGGCUUUCAUGAGCUGAACUGGCAGCUGCUUCCCCCUCCCCCGGGCACGUCCCCCUAUUACUGGUAAAAGACAGAUAUAGCCUUUUUUAAAAAGUUCUUCUUGUUGUUUAUUCAGCAACACUGCUGCUUUUAAUUCCA